Molecule: ribosomal RNA, 773 nt
Filed under: uncultured fungus
Lineage: Eukaryota; Fungi
Description: SSU rRNA
Rfam family: Eukaryotic small subunit ribosomal RNA
Source: RNAcentral
CCUGGUUGAUUCUGCCAGUAUGUCAUAUGCUUGUCUCAAAGAUUAAGCCAUGCAUGUCUAAGUAUAAGCAACUUUGUACUGUGAAACUGCGAAUGGCUCAUUAAAUCAGUUAUAGUUUAUUUGAUGGUUUUUGCUACAUGGAUAACUGUGGUAAUUCUAGAGCUAAUACAUGCAUUCAAGCCCCGACUUCUGGAAGGGGUGUAUUUAUUAGAUAAAAAUCAACUUUGUUGGUGAAUCAUAAUAACUUCUCGGACCGCAUGGCCUUGUGCUGGCGGUGCUUCAUUCAAAUAUCUGCCCUAUCAACUGUCGAUGGUAGGAUAGAGGCCUACCAUGGUUGCAACGGGUAACGGGGAAUAAGGGUUCGAUUCCGGAGAGGGAGCCUGAGAAACGGCUACCACAUCCAAGGAAGGCAGCAGGCGCGCAAAUUACCCAAUCCCAACACGGGGAGGUAGUGACAAUAUGUAACAAUAUACGGCCUUAUACGUCGUAUAAUUGGAAUGAGUACAAUUUAAAUCCCUUAACGAGGAACAAUUGGAGGGCAAGUCUGGUGCCAGCAGCCGCGGUAAUUCCAGCUCCAAUAGCGUAUAUUAAAGUUGUUGCAGUUAAAAAGCUCGUAGUUGGACCUUGGACCUGGACAGGCGGUCCGCCUCACGGCGAGUACUGUCUUGCUGGGUCUUUCCUCUUGGUGAUCUGUUGUUUCGGCAGCAGGGAACCAGGACCUUUACUUUGAAAAAAUUAGAGUGUUCAAAGCAGGCUCGACGCCGGAAUAUAUU